CUCUCGUGUGUGUGUGUGUGUGUGUGUGUGUGUGUGUGUAUACACACACACACACACACACGUUCACAUGAACUAGGUUU
RNAcentral lists this microRNA precursor (80 nucleotides) under Podarcis lilfordi (Lilford's wall lizard). Lineage: Eukaryota; Metazoa; Chordata; Lepidosauria; Squamata; Lacertidae. The record is from RNAcentral.